UUUUGGUCAAGCUAAUAAGGGCAUACGGUGGAUGCCUUGGUACAGAGAGGCGAUGAAGGACGUGGUAAGCUGCGAUAAGCCUCGGGGAGGUGCAAACAACCUUUGAUCCGAGGAUUUCCGAAUGGGGCAACCCGAUGCGGGUCAUGCCGCAUCACCCCCGGGUGAAUAUAUAGCUCGGGUGGGGCUAACGGGGUGAACUGAAACAUCUAAGUAACCCCUGGAAUAGAAAGCAACCGCGAUUUCCUCAGUAGUGGCGAGCGAAAGGGAAAUAGCCCAAACCGGUUCGCAUGUUAAAACCUGCAUGUGUUGUGCGACCGGGGUUGUGGGGUGAGAUCUGAUAGAGAUGCAGACCUGUCAGGGAGUUACAAAUUUGCAAUGUAGCCAAACAGUUCUGGAAAGUCUGGCCGCAGAAGGUGAAAGCCCUGUAGGCGAAACAUUGCAAACUCCUGUGAUCUCAUUCCCGAGUACUGCGGGACACGUGAAAUCCUGUAGGAAUCUGGGAGGACCACCUCCCAAGGCUAAAUACUCCUCUGUGACCGAUAGUGAACUAGUACCGUGAGGGAAAGGUGAAAAGUACUCCUGAAUGGAGAGUGAAAUAGAACCUGAAACCGUUUGCUUACAAGCGGUCGGAGGACAAACCGCGAUCUUCGGAUCUCGGGGAGUCUGACGGCGUGCCUUUUGCAUAAUGAGCCGGUGAGUUACUCCUGAGUUGCAAGGUUAACCUACUUUGUAGGGAAGCCGUAGCGAAAGCGAGUCUGAAUAGGGCGAUACAGUAGCUUGGGGUAGACCCGAAGCCAGGUGAUCUACCCAUGGCCAGGAUGAAGCGUGAUUAACCUCACGUGGAGGUCCGAACCCACCAAUGUUGAAAAAUUGGGGGAUGAGCUGUGGGUAGGGGUGAAAGGCCAAUCAAACCUGGAGAUAGCUGGUUCUCCUCGAAAUAGCUUUUGGGCUAGCCUCUUGUUAUAGAGUGGCGGAGGUAGAGCACUGGAUAGGCUCGGGGGCUUCACCGCUUACCAACCCUAACCAAACUCCGAAUGCCGCAUACUUAUUCCAAGGGAGUCAGCGCAUGGGGGAUAAGCUUCAUGUGCGAGAGGGAAACAACCCAGACCACCAGCUAAGGUCCCUAAGUACAGGCUAAGUGAUAAAGGAUGUGGGAGUGCGUAGACAGCCAGGAUGUUGGCUUAGAAGCAGCCAUUCAUUUAAAGAGUGCGUAACAGCUCACUGGUCAAGUGAACCUGCGCCGAUAAUGAUCGGGACUAAAGCCUGUCACCGAAGCUGUGGGCUUCAACUUUUGUUGGAGCGGUAGAGGAGUAUUCUAUUGUAGGCUGAAGGCAGACUGUGAAGUCUGCUGGACGACGUGGAAGCAAUCAUGCCGGCAUGAGUAGCGAUAAAACAGGUGAGAAUCCUGUUCACCGAAAGUCUAAGGUUUCCUGGGGAAGGUUCGUCCGCCCAGGGUUAGUCGGACCCUAAGCCGAGGCCGAAAGGCGUAGGCGAUGGGAAACAGGUUAAAAUUCCUGUACCACCUUAGAGACGUUUGAACUAUGGGGUAACGCAGAAGUGACGAUCAGCCCGCGACUGGAAAUGCGGGUCUAAGCCUGUAGGGGGAUCACCAGGGAAAAUACGGGUGAUCACAACCCUGAGAGGUGAUGGGGAAACGAGCCUUCGGGCAAGCCAACUGGUCUUAAUCAUGCUGCCGAGAAAAACCUCUAUGUGAGUCUCUCGGGUGUCCGUACCGCAAACCGACACAGGUAGACGGGGUGAGAAUCCUAAGGUGCGCGAGAGAACCCCUGUUAAGGAACUAGGCAAAAUGGCUCCGUAACUUCGGGAGAAGGAGUGCCUCCAAGUAGGUGAACGGACUUGCUCCGGGAGCUGAAGGGGGCCGCAGAGAAACGGCCUGGGCGACUGUUUACUAAAAACACAGGUCUCUGCUAAGUCGCAAGACGACGUAUAGGGACUGACACCUGCCCGGUGCCAGUAGGUCAAGAGGAAAGGUUAGUCUUCGGACGAAGCUUUGAAUCGAAGCUCUGGUAAACGGCGGCCGUAACUAUAACGGUCCUAAGGUAGCGAAAUUCC
RNAcentral lists this ribosomal RNA (2073 nucleotides) under Gemmatimonadota bacterium. RNAcentral describes it as "Gemmatimonadetes bacterium partial 23S ribosomal RNA". It matches the Rfam family "Bacterial large subunit ribosomal RNA", at positions 1 to 1968 of the family's 2925-position model. The record is from RNAcentral. Lineage: Bacteria; Pseudomonadati; Gemmatimonadota.